UACGGAGGGUGCAAGCGUUAUCCGGAAUCAUUGGGUUUAAAGGGUCCGCAGGCGGGAAGAUAAGUCAGUGGUGAAAUCUCACAGCUCAACUGUGAAACUGCCAUUGAUACUGUCUUUCUUGAAUUCGAUCGAAGUGGGCGGAAUGUGACAUGUAGCGGUGAAAUGCUUAGAUAUGUCACAGAACACCGAUAGCGAAGGCAGCUCACUAGGUCUGGAUUGACGCUCAGGGACGAAAGCGUGGGGAGCAAACAGGAUUAGAUACCCUGGUAGUCCACGCCGUAAACUAUCAAUACUCGUUCUCAGGUCUUCGGAUUUGGGGACUAAGCGAAAGUGAUAAGUAUUGCACCUGGGGAGUACGAUCGCAAGGUUG
Molecule: ribosomal RNA, 370 nt
Filed under: uncultured prokaryote
Description: bacterial SSU rRNA
Rfam family: Bacterial small subunit ribosomal RNA
Source: RNAcentral